Molecule: ribosomal RNA, 253 nt
Filed under: uncultured bacterium
Lineage: Bacteria
Description: partial 16S ribosomal RNA
Rfam family: Bacterial small subunit ribosomal RNA
Source: RNAcentral
UACAGAGGGUGCAAACGUUGCUCGGAAUCAUUGGGCGUAAAGCGCACGUAGGCGGCCCAGCAAGUGGGGAGUGAAAGCCCUCGGCUUAACCGAGGAGGUGCUUUCCAAACUACUGGGCUUGAAUACUGGAGAGGGUCGCGGAAUUCCCGGUGUAGAGGUGAAAUUCGUAGAUAUCGGGAGGAACACCAGUGGCGAAGGCGGCGACCUGGACAGAUAUUGACGCUGAGGUGCGAAAGCGUGGGGAGCAAACAGG